GACGAACGCUGGCGGCGUGCUUAACACAUGCAAGUCGAACGGAAAGGCCUCUUUCGGGGGGUACUCGAGUGGCGAACGGGUGAGUAACACGUGAGUAACCUGCCCUUGACUUUGGGAUAACUUCAGGAAACUGGGGCUAAUACCGGAUAGGAGCUCCUGCUGCAUGGUGGGGGUUGGAAAGUUUCGGCGGUUGGGGAUGGACUCGCGGCUUAUCAGCUUGUUGGUGGGGUAGUGGCUUACCAAGGCUUUGACGGGUAGCCGGCCUGAGAAGGUGACCGGCCACAUUGGGACUGAGAUACGGCCCAGACUCCUACGGGAGGCAGCAGUGGGGAAUAUUGCACAAUGGGUGGAAGCCUGAUGCAGCAACGCCGGGUGCGGGAUGACGGCCUUCGGGUUGUAAACCGCUUUCGCUCAUGACGAAGCUUUGUGUGACGGUAGUGGGUAAAGAAGCACCGGCUAACUACGUG
This 467-nucleotide ribosomal RNA is filed under the name uncultured bacterium. RNAcentral describes it as "partial 16S ribosomal RNA". It matches the Rfam family "Bacterial small subunit ribosomal RNA", at positions 28 to 507 of the family's 1533-position model. The record is from RNAcentral.